GAAAUUAACAAAUACCCAAAAAAAGUACACCAAUUUCACACUAGUAAUGGCUAUAGGCCUUCAAUGUAUGAAGCUCUAAAAAAAAAAAAAUCCCAAUCUUGAACAAAGAAAUCACGAAAAAAAAAGAUCAAGAUUCAUAUCUAUGCAUUGGCCUUCAAGUAUAUCACAAAUCAAACACUAGAACCAAGAGAAAUCACAAAUCUUAUGGCAAUCGGCCUUUAAGUAGUGUAAUCGGCAAUCGGCCUUCAAGAAUCAAUUAGCAAUUGACUUUUCAUUAAUCAUUCAAUGGAAUUAACUGAUGUAACUAAAUAACCUAGCAGAGACAGAGAGUACAUAAAUCAUCGAAAAUUGCAGUCGGCGAUACAGAAAUCACCAGAAAAGUACGAAGAUCACAGUCUGCGCUACCCAAAAAACUCCACUGUAAAUCUCGAACCUUCUCCUUGAGUUGCAGUAAGCGGAAGCAAUUAUGAACAGAGUAAUUCCACAAAGGAAGAACCUGCUCUGGAUACCAUAUUAACUAUCUUGAAUUAUCACAAAGAUUAUGCAGUGAAGAAAGAAUUGUAGAAAAGCUUUUAGAGAGCAAAGCAAGAAAGAUGAAGUUUCAGAUUUCAUUAACCGCCACAGUUAUUACACUCAAGCCUUUAUAUAGCUUGCUAAUACUUAGCUUAUCAAGUAAGCUUCUACAUAACCAAUACAAUCAAUACAUGUGGACUAAUACACUGUUGACACAUGUCCAAGUUUGUUAUCCUGUUAUUAGUUGUUACCAUAGCAUCUACAAGCAACAACACACAUGGAUACAACCAACCAUGCAGAAUGCUGCAUAGGCAAGAACUGCAGUGCUGAUCAUUUUUCAAACUUUAUGUAGGACAUUUGAAGUUAUCAUGAAAUAAAAGCUUGACGGAGUCGUGACACCCUGGAUGCGUGCAAAGUUGAUGAAGGCGUGAGGGGUCAACCUGUCAAGCAGCAACUCAAUCAACGGCCCAACAAACACCUCCGCCAUGGCCACCAUUGUUUCUUUGGUUGUCAAGCAAGGAUUGCAAUGAAUAAAGACGGGAAGGGUGAACAAAAGAAAGAGUAGUGAGUACUGGGAACUAAAACGUUCACAAGCACUGGACACCUGGUCAAACUAGUUAGGCUGAGAACUGGAAACUGUGUGUUGAUGAAGACUUUAAUUCAAUGCUAAUCGCACUGUAAACCUUACACUUUCCCAAAGCUUGAAUAUUUAACUUUUUAUUUGAGGAAUCCAAAGGCAA
RNAcentral lists this small RNA (1253 nucleotides) under Malus domestica (apple). RNAcentral's name for it is "sRNA MD02G0243200". The record is from RNAcentral. Lineage: Eukaryota; Viridiplantae; Streptophyta; Magnoliopsida; Rosales; Rosaceae.